AUUGAACGCUGGCGGCAGGCCUAACACAUGCAAGUCGAGCGAGCGGCGGACGGGUGAGUAAUGUCUGGGAAACUGCCUGAUGGAGGGGGAUCACUACUGGAAACGGUAGCUACUACCGCAUACCCUCAGAUGUGCCCAGAUGGGAUUAGCUGGUAGGUGGGGUAACGGCUCACCUAGGCCGCGAGCCCUAGCUGGUCUGAGAGGAUGACCAGCCACACUGGAACUGAGACAGGGUCCAGACUCCUACGGGAGGCAGCAGUGGGGAAUAUUGCACAAUGGGCGCAAGCCUGAUGCAGCCAUGCCGCGUGUAUGAAGAAGGCCUUCGGGUUGUAAAGCACUUUCAGCGAGGAGGCGUUACUCGCAGAAGAAGCACCGGCUAACUCCGUGCCAGCAGCCGCGGUAAUUC
This 406-nucleotide ribosomal RNA is filed under the name uncultured bacterium. RNAcentral's name for it is "partial 16S ribosomal RNA". It matches the Rfam family "Bacterial small subunit ribosomal RNA", at positions 30 to 526 of the family's 1533-position model. The record is from RNAcentral.